CCGCGGUAAUACGAAGGGGGCUAGCGUUGUUCGGAUUUACUGGGCGUAAAGCGCGUGUAGGCGGGCUGGAAAGUUGGGGGUGAAAUCCCGAGGCUCAACCUCGGAACUGCCUCCAAAACUUCCAGCCUGGACUCAAGUAGAGGCAAGUGGAAUUGCGAGUGUAGAGGUGAAAUUCGUAGAUAUUCGCAGGAACACCAGUGGCGAAGGCGACUUGCUGGACUUGUAGUGACGCUGAGACGCGAAAGCGUGG
This 250-nucleotide ribosomal RNA is filed under the name uncultured bacterium. RNAcentral describes it as "partial 16S ribosomal RNA". It matches the Rfam family "Bacterial small subunit ribosomal RNA", at positions 515 to 764 of the family's 1533-position model. The record is from RNAcentral.